Molecule: ribosomal RNA, 432 nt
Filed under: uncultured bacterium
Lineage: Bacteria
Description: partial 16S ribosomal RNA
Rfam family: Bacterial small subunit ribosomal RNA
Source: RNAcentral
CCUACGGGGGGCAGCAGUGGGGAAUUUUGGGCAAUGGCCGCAAGGCUGACCCAGCGACGCCGCGUGUGGGAGGAAGCCCUUCGGGGUGUAAACCACUGUCGGGGGGGACGCGGUACCCCCAAAGGAAGCGCCGGCUAACUCCGUGCCAGCAGCCGCGGUAAGACGGAGGGCGCAAGCGUUGUUCGGAAUUACUGGGCGUAAAGCGCGCGCAGGCGGGAAGAUAAGUCUGGAGUGAAAUUCCGGGGCUCAACUCCGGAGCUGCUUUGGAUACUGUCUUUCUAGGGACCGGUAGAGGUCGGUGGAAUUCCCGGUGUAGCGGUGGAAUGCGUAGAGAUCGGGAAGAACACCCGUGGCGAAGGCGGCCGACUGGGCCGGUCCGACGCUGAGGCGCGAAAGCGUGGGGAGCAAACAGGAUUAGAUACCCUUGUAGUC